RNAcentral lists this ribosomal RNA (483 nucleotides) under uncultured Enterococcus sp. RNAcentral describes it as "bacterial SSU rRNA". It matches the Rfam family "Bacterial small subunit ribosomal RNA", at positions 55 to 510 of the family's 1533-position model. The record is from RNAcentral. Lineage: Bacteria; Bacillati; Bacillota; Bacilli; Lactobacillales; Enterococcaceae.
AUGCAAGUCGAACGCUUCUUCCUCCCGAGUGCUUGCACUCAAUUGGAAAGAGGAGUGGCGGACGGGUGAGUAACACGUGGGUAACCUACCCAUCAGAGGGGGAUAACACUUGGAAACAGGUGCUAAUACCGCAUAACAGUUUAUGCCGCAUGGCAUAAGAGUGAAAGGCGCUUUCGGGUGUCGCUGAUGGAUGGACCCGCGGUGCAUUAGCUAGUUGGUGAGGUAACGGCUCACCAAUGCCGCGAUGCAUAGCCGACCUGAGAGGGUGAUCGGCCACACUGGGACUGAGACACGGCCCAGACUCCUACGGGAGGCAGCAGUAGGGAAUCUUCGGCAAUGGACGAAAGUCUGACCGAGCAACGCCGCGUGAGUGAAGAAGGUUUUCGGAUCGUAAAACUCUGUUGUUAGAGAAGAACAAGGACGUUAGUAACUGAACGUCCCCUGACGGUAUCUAACCAGAAAGCCACGGCUAACUACGUGCCA